Long non-coding RNA from Colossoma macropomum (tambaqui), 1270 nucleotides. RefSeq lists it as uncharacterized. Lineage: Eukaryota; Metazoa; Chordata; Actinopteri; Characiformes; Serrasalmidae. The transcript has 3 exons. The record is from RefSeq and is a predicted model, not a curated record.
CUUGAGCCAAACUCCAUCAAAACCAACUGUACUGUCUGUGGGCAUAAAAAGAAAACAGUUGCUGAGCUGGAAAAAGAAAUAAUUGUCCUCCAAUUGCAGCUGGGGCCAGAAACCAGGGGUUGAGUGCCCUUUCCCCAGAACUGCCAGGCAAAGGCAGAAAGAUUAAAAGUCCAGGAAGAACGUGUCGUAAUUGACAAACGAAAAAAGCAGUGAUAGAAGUUCAGCUGCUCUUUUACUGUGGUGGAGUCCCCCAAAUACAGUAUGUAACAUUAUUUUGUAUAAUACACAUUUAUCUUGUAUACACUUCAUUUACAUUAUAUGUUGAUGUACUUAAACUACAUUUUACAGAGCGGAAGCUGACUGAUUAUUUGGAAUUUCUUGUGGGGGAAAUCCACCCGCCAAAAAAAGGAAAAGGGGGUAAUUGCAAUUGACCAGAUUCACAGGUUUCUCAUUUUUACUGGGGAAGGGAAUCUGCUAAAGGGUAACUAUGCCUUCUUGAAGAAACAUGCGUCAAUCAGAGUAAGAAGUCUUUGUUGUGACAUGGACUUUUCGAGCCAUAUUAUUCACUGAUGCUUUCUUACACCUCAGUGAUCGUGCUCUGGCUAGUAAGAUCUUUUACAGCAAUGCUGAAGAAAAAAUCAUGCAAUUUCACAAUAUAUUUCGAUUUUGGACUCCACGUUAUGUAGCUGUGGGAAUGGGACGCCAAAUAGGAGCAAUGACAAACAUGCCUGUUCCUGUUGACCUCUGCCUCCUCCAUCUCAUUGACUGUGUUGACUGAAGUUGAAAAACAUAAAUCAGCAGGCACUUAUGAUCUUGCCCAAAUCUGCCUGACAUAUGAGGAACAUGGGUGGAUGACCACAUUCCUGGACAUCAAGAAGAAAAAAACUACACCACUGGGGUCAAUAGCAAAUGAAUGAAUGAAUGAAUAUGCCCAGGUGAAUGUGGAUUUCUGCAAAUCUUCUGAAAUCACAAGACUGAGCUCUGCACAUAUCACGUUACAUCGGGUCGACAAACAACAAGCGUUUUACUGGUUCUUACCAUAAGACUCCUCCUCUGACAAAGAAAUUCAAGGCAUGUGUGAAGACACUGAUAUAAAAAGCCUUACAUUUUGAAUAUUUGAGAAGUCUUUGGUUGUCUGUGAAUAUAUUUGUUUUGAUGUAAACAGAUUUUCUGAUUGCUGCAUUUGUUGUUCAUAUCUUUUUUUUUGAAAAUUGACAUUUAAAGAUCCAUUCACUCUUAUUUUCGUAUGUAAAAAGUAGAAACUGCUUUA